GCUCGCCAGAGAAUUCUAAGCGAAAGCUUUAAACCCAAAGGACUUGACGGUGUUCCACACCGACCUAGAGGAGCCUGUCCUAUAAUCGAUACUCCACGUUUAACCUUACCCCCUCUCGUAUCUCAGCCUAUAUACCGCCGUCGCCAGCCUGCCUGAUGACAGAUUACAAGCCGACACAACUGCUAAACACAAACACGCCAGGUCAAGGUGUAGCUAAUGAGCGGGUUUGAGAUGGGCUACAUUUCCUAUACCAGGAAAAUCACUAACUUCAACAUGAAAAUAUGUUAUAAGGUGGAUUUAGCAGUAAGAAUGGACAAGACAUGUCACCCUGAA
Molecule: ribosomal RNA, 333 nt
Filed under: Pachydactylus weberi
Lineage: Eukaryota; Metazoa; Chordata; Lepidosauria; Squamata; Gekkonidae
Description: partial 12S ribosomal RNA
Rfam family: Bacterial small subunit ribosomal RNA
Source: RNAcentral